UACGUAGGUGUCAAGCGUUGUCCGGAUUUAUUGGGCGUAAAGCGCCCGCAGGCGGCUUGCCAAGUUCGAUGUGAAAUCUCCCGGCUUAACUGGGAGGGUGCAUCGAAAACUGGCAGGCUUGAGGCAGGGAGAGGGAUGUGGAAUUCCAGGUGUAGUGGUGAAAUGCGUAGAUAUCUGGAGGAACACCGGUGGCGAAGGCGGCAUCCUGGACCAAUAUUGACGCUGAGGAGCGAAAGCCAGGGGAGCAAACGGG
RNAcentral lists this ribosomal RNA (253 nucleotides) under uncultured bacterium. Its description in RNAcentral is "partial 16S ribosomal RNA". It matches the Rfam family "Bacterial small subunit ribosomal RNA", at positions 524 to 776 of the family's 1533-position model. The record is from RNAcentral.